RNAcentral lists this ribosomal RNA (253 nucleotides) under uncultured bacterium. Its description in RNAcentral is "partial 16S ribosomal RNA". It matches the Rfam family "Bacterial small subunit ribosomal RNA", at positions 524 to 776 of the family's 1533-position model. The record is from RNAcentral.
UACGUAGGGUGCAAGCGUUGUCCGGAAUUAUUGGGCGUAAAGAGCGUGUAGGCGGCCAGGUAGGUCUGCUGUGAAAACUCGAGGCUUAACCUCGAGCUGUCGGCGGAAACCAUCUGGCUAGAGUCCGGAAGAGGAGAAUGGAAUUCCCGGUGUAGCGGUGAAAUGCGCAGAUAUCGGGAAGAACACCCGUGGCGAAGGCGGUUCUCUGGGACGGUACUGACGCUGAGGCGCGAAAGCCAGGGGAGCGAACGGG